GAUGUAUCAGUUGAGGACGCCGGAUUCCCAUGCCUAAGAGGGACAUAAUUUUAUACAGGAUAUAUUCGGUCAACAACAAAAAAACAAUGUAGCAAGUAAAGUGCUAGACACAGCUUGUCUAAACUAUAAGAAACUACGACAUAUACUUUUAGAAGGGCACACCUGUGUUUAAAUGAAACUACAGAAAACAUCUUCUAGCAAAUAGUAGCUGCAAAUACAUUGCCUUAAUGUCUUUAACAUCAAAAAAAAUCCUGUAACAUGAGCGGCUAAUACACAAAAACUUGCAAGAAGUGAACAUUUCUCAUGAGAAGCUUAAAAGGUAUUAAAGCUUCUGCAUCUCUCUAACGUCAUUCCCGUUAGACACCUCAGAGAGGACGAGCUGCUGGUAAAGAGGUCUAGCAAAACGAGGUGCUCCCUCAAACCUGAGAUCAUCUGAAUCAAUUACUGGCUUGCAUUCUAAGAUGCAUUUUGCCUAAGUCUACAGCUAUAGUUAACCAAAAAAAAAAAAAAAAAGCUGAGAGAGCAGGAAAGAAAGAGUUCAUAGCCUGAGCACCACCACCUGCCAUUUCUCAUCUUAUUUGAAUUUGUGUUGAGAUCGAACGUUUCCUGACGGCGACGAGGCACGAAGCCGCGCAGUGCCGCAGCCUGCCUCCCCUCCCGGCAGCCGCAGCCCUGCGCCCGGCCGCGCUCCGACCCACCGAGACGCAUAAGUUUACGAGGAAACGGGAGUUUCCAGAGCAAGUAUAAUGAGAAACUCUUCCUUCAACCACAAAAUAAAGGAACAAUUUCUUGGAAAGCGAGUGACUACUUAUGAGCUACGCUGAGCUCACUGAAGAUGCCAUGAAGUGAAGGAAAAUUGAAAUUGUGCUGCCUGUUCAUCAUGUAUUGUGUUCUCUCCAGUCUGCAGCUAUAACAGUAUGGAUGAAUAGAAGCACCUCUGCUUCCAUGGAACAGCAAAACAGAGUAAUUUAGCCAGUAGAAAUGUCACUUCAGCACUCAAAAUUAAUUACACUGUUAAAAAAGACUUUCCAUUGUUUUUAUUCCCCUAAAAAACCCAGCAUUUUAAUGGUAAACAUUCACUGUUACACUUUCUCAUUUUAACAGUCAGAUACUUUGCCUUUCCAUAAGUCCUUGGCAUCUAUUUUAAUCAUGUGAAUAACAAAGGAGUAGCAGGAUCUUUUUCUGUAAAUUACAUAAAAUACAUUCAACUCCGAAAGGUAAAAAAAAAAUGACAAUGUCAUUUACAGACUUAAUUACUUUCUGUAAUUUUCCUUCUAUAUCUGAUUUAUUUACUCUAAAUCUAUUGUUACUGAAUUCAAAAUGAGGUUUUGAACAGAAGAAUUACUGUUAUUUAAAUAUUUUAACUUUUACAGUGGAUUCUGCUCCUGAGGUUUGGUUUCUUCCUCCUUCUUACAGCCCAUUUCUAUUAAUAGAAGUUUUUCAGAACAAAUCCUGGCUGCCAUCCCGUGUUUGCAGCUCCCAUGACUUUAAAUGACUCCAUCAGUAACGCUGGGGGUCUAAAGCAAUUCCAGUUGUUUGCAGCUGAGUUCCCAAUUAUAUUCUUGUUACUUGAGAAUGCAGUGGAUCUGCAAUAUUCUCAAUUUUGUUACUUUUCAUGGCUAACAGUUAUGAAAAGUAAUUUUUAUUUAUAUGACAAGCACAUAAAACCUCAAAGACUCAAAGUAAGUAGACUGAUUGAAUGAGAUAAUUUUUUAAAUGACCAUGUGGGUGAAUAGAAGCGGUGACAAGUAUUUCGUUGUCAUUUCAUACCUCAUCUGGCUACUUUGACAAGCUCACUUUGCAUUCAUUAAGCAAUUUCUGUUUAGCAGUAUUCGUCCUGUCAAAACAGCUUACAAAAUUUCUCAGUAGUGAGAAAAAAAGCCUUGUAGAAACAGGGAAAUAGUAUUUUCUCGUUUAUGGGAAAGAAUAAGUCUGUUUCAGUUUUACAAGCAAAAGAAAAUUUAGUUUAUUCUGUACUCUGAUUUGUUGUUCUCUACUAAGGAAAUCUAAGCAUCCUUGCUGGUGCCAAUAAUGAAUCUGAGAAGAAACAAUAUUUGUUCUGAGCAGCUGACAAAUGUAAGGAUGAUGUUAGUGUUAUCCCCACUCUCUUGAGAUAAAUUGCAGAGGUUGUGAACACGAUGGGUUAAUAUAAAGAUCCAAGGCAUGUUUUUACAUGCAUACUUUAUAAAGAAAGCAGAGACAUUACAAAAAUAUACAAAGAAUAAAAUAAUUAGAGUGUAUGACAAGACAGUUUGUUAUAGUUAACCAAAUUCUGGAAACUUGAAAUAAAGAGGAUAAAAGACAAA
Long non-coding RNA from Pseudopipra pipra, 2306 nucleotides. RefSeq lists it as uncharacterized. The record is from RefSeq and is a predicted model, not a curated record. The transcript is spliced from 3 exons. NCBI's taxonomy places the organism in Eukaryota, Metazoa, Chordata, Aves, Passeriformes, Pipridae.